Molecule: ribosomal RNA, 466 nt
Filed under: uncultured bacterium
Lineage: Bacteria
Description: bacterial SSU rRNA
Rfam family: Bacterial small subunit ribosomal RNA
Source: RNAcentral
AUUCCAGACUCCUACGGGAGGCAGCAGUGAGGAAUAUUGGUCAAUGGGCUUACGCCUGAACCAGCUAAGCCGCGUGAAGGAAGAAGGCGCCAGGCGUCGUAAACUUCUUUUGUCGGGGAACAAAGGGCGCCACGCGUGGCGUUGUGAGUGUACCCGAAGAAAAAGCAUCGGCUAACUCCGUGCCAGCAGCCGCGGUAAUACGGAGGAUGCGAGCGUUAUCCGGAUUUAUUGGGUUUAAAGGGUGCGUAGGCGGUCCGGAAAGUCAGCGGUAAAAUUGCGGUGCUCAACGCCGUAGAGCCGUUGAAACUGGGGUUCUUGAGUGAGCGAGAAGUAUGCGGAAUGCGUGGUGUAGCGGUGAAAUGCAUAGAUAUCACGCAGAACCCCGAUUGCGAAGGCAGCAUACCGGCGCUCAACUGACGCUGAGGCACGAAAGUGCGGGUAUCGAACAGGAUUAGAUACCCCAGUA